RNAcentral lists this ribosomal RNA (515 nucleotides) under uncultured Variovorax sp. RNAcentral's name for it is "bacterial SSU rRNA". It matches the Rfam family "Bacterial small subunit ribosomal RNA", at positions 29 to 544 of the family's 1533-position model. The record is from RNAcentral. Lineage: Bacteria; Pseudomonadati; Pseudomonadota; Betaproteobacteria; Burkholderiales; Comamonadaceae.
AUUGAACGCUGGCGGCAUGCCUCUACACAGUUUUAAGUCGAACGGCAGCGCGGCCAGCAAUCCUCGCGGCGAGUGGCGAACGGGUGAGUAAUACCGAACGUGCCCAAUCGUGGGGGAUAACGCAGCGAAAGCUGUGCUAAUACCGCAUACGAUCUACGGAUGAAAGCAGGGUGAUCGCAAGACCUUGCGCGAAUGGAGCGGCCGAUGGCAGAUUAGGUAGUUGGUGAGGUAAAGGCUCACCAAGCCUUCGAUCUGUAGCUGGUCUGAGAGGACGAACAGCCACACUGGGACUGAGACACGGCCAGACUCCUACGGGAAGGCAGCAGUGGGGAAUUUUGGACAAAUGGGCGAAAGCCUGAUCCAGACCAUGCCAGCGUGACAGAUGAAGAGCCUUCGGGGUUGUAAACUGCUUUUGUACGGAAACGAAAACGGUCUUUUUUCUUAAUACAGAAGCGCUAAUGACGGUUACCGUAAGAAUUAUAGCCACCACGGGCGUUAAAACUAACGGUGCCCCA